GAUAGGCUAAUUAAGAGCGUAUGGGGAAUGCCUAGGCUCUCAGAGGCGAUGAAGGACGUGAUAAGCUGCGAAAAGCUACGGGGAGUGGCACAUACACUGUGAUCCGUAGAUAUCCGAAUGGGGCAACCCAAUACUUUGAAGAAGUAUUAUCCGAAAGGAAGCAAACCCGGAGAACUGAAACAUCUAAGUAUCCGGA
RNAcentral lists this ribosomal RNA (196 nucleotides) under uncultured Flavobacteriaceae bacterium. RNAcentral's name for it is "partial 23S ribosomal RNA". It matches the Rfam family "Bacterial large subunit ribosomal RNA", at positions 1 to 214 of the family's 2925-position model. The record is from RNAcentral. Lineage: Bacteria; Pseudomonadati; Bacteroidota; Flavobacteriia; Flavobacteriales; Flavobacteriaceae.